CCCAAGUUUCUUAAUAAUAUGAAAUAGUUUAGCAUGUAAAUCACGCUUAUACUAUAUGCAUUUACAUAAACUUGGAAAUGAUGGGAUUUCAUGUGGUAUGUACAAAAAUAUGUUAAUUUAAGUAUAUAUAACUUGCAUCACUAUUCUUGUUUUGUAUAGUCACAAAUUGUCAAUUUGAAAAAAAAAAUACAGGGCACACAUGAUAUACCAUGACCAAUAUUUUACCAAGGAAUUGGAAGGAGCUCUACCUUUCGGUUAGAAUAAAACAUUAUGAUUUUAGAAAUAGACAUUGAUGAGGGCCAAGAAUAAACCAAAAAAAAGUUGCGGCAUGUCUACUCGCCAAAGAAAACACUAAUUUCUCUCCUUGCACAUACUAAUAUUUAAUUACACAUGAUUGUACUAAGACUAUUUUGGGUUUGAGGGUUUUCGACUCACCGAGAGUUUAUUGUCCAGAUCUGCCCUAGAGUUAGGGGCAGGGGUAUGCCCAGACAAUCAUUUACUAUAUCCCGAACAACCUAAAAGCAAGACAAUAAGAUGACAUAAGCAGGCUAUAAGGAUUAGAAUAUUAUAUUCUUGCUUAGUUGGAGGAGAGAGAGGACGAGAGAGAAGAAAAGCGGGCUCUUGAUGAGUAGCCAGCUGCAACACGAGACUCAAGACACUUUAUAAGAUUGUAAGGUGGACCAAAUUACUAUUAAAGUAGUACACAUCUAAAACUUACUAUUGUAUAUGCUGGCUAUUAGGUUGACUCUAUAUGACAUGACAACUCAUUAUAGCCGAUUGUUGGCUGCAUUGUUAACCAUGCUCUAAGAGAAUGGGCAAUCCAUGUAAAGGUGGAAGUAUCUAUCUCGUUCUCUCGAAACAGGCUUCACACCGGAUCAUAGAUAAAGCAACAAAAAACCUAUUGUCUUGUUAUAUAUACUGGCUCACUUCACUACUUUGGAGCAUAUGUGUUUUCCAAUUUUGGUUGCCAACUUCUCUACACCAUCUAGUAUGUGAGCACUCUACUCAUUUGCCACGCGCUGGUGGUAUGUUGGGCACUUUGUCCAUCCACAAAUUGUCAAAUCCUACGCUGUUAGGAUUUUCUCAUUUUUGCUCACUCCAAG
Molecule: long non-coding RNA, 1103 nt
Filed under: Hordeum vulgare
Lineage: Eukaryota; Viridiplantae; Streptophyta; Magnoliopsida; Poales; Poaceae
Description: long non-coding RNA (HVUL_LNC005514)
Source: RNAcentral